ACGGGAGGCAGCAGUGGGGAAUAUUGGACAAUGGGGGAAACCCUGAUCCAGCGACGCCGCGUGAGUGAAGAAGUAUUUCGGUAUGUAAAGCUCUAUCAGCAAGGAAGAAAAUGACGGUACUUGACUAAGAAGCCACGGCUAACUACGUGCCAGCAGCCGCGGUAAUACGUAGGUGGCAAGCGUUGUCCGGAUUUACUGGGUGUAAAGGGUGCGCAGGCGGGACUGCAAGUUGGAUGUGAAAUGCCAAGGCUUAACCUUGGAACUGCAUCCAAAACUGUAGUUCUUGAGUGGAGUAGAGGUAAGCGGAAUUCCGAGUGUAGCGGUGAAAUGCGUAGAUAUUCGGAGGAACACCAGUGGCGAAGGCGGCUUACUGGGCUCUAACUGACGCUGAGGCACGAAAGCAUGGGUAGCAAACAGGAUUAGAUACCCUGGUA
This 434-nucleotide ribosomal RNA is filed under the name uncultured Clostridiales Family IV bacterium. RNAcentral's name for it is "bacterial SSU rRNA". It matches the Rfam family "Bacterial small subunit ribosomal RNA", at positions 341 to 792 of the family's 1533-position model. Lineage: Bacteria; Bacillati; Bacillota; Clostridia; Eubacteriales; Eubacteriales Family IV. Incertae Sedis. The record is from RNAcentral.